Non-coding RNA from Pelobates cultripes (western spadefoot toad), 1111 nucleotides. NCBI's taxonomy places the organism in Eukaryota, Metazoa, Chordata, Amphibia, Anura, Pelobatidae. The record is from the annotation of a GenBank genome assembly.
UUUAACUCCAAAUCGGCUUUUAGCCUCAUUCCUCCUCCUCUUUCAGCCCCCCUCCCGUCUGUCUCCCCCACCCCCCAGAGAUCACACAUCACAUACCUUUCUACAACACAAAGGGAAGGAGGCAGACACAGGUAGGACCACAGACAGAGGAGGAGAUUGGGGGCACAGGUAGACAGGGGGUACAGGGUGAGUGGUACAAACAGGUACUGUGACAUAGAUAGGGGGUACAGGCAGACAGCGGUACAGGCUGAGUGAUACAAACUGGAGGUACAGGUACUGUGAUAUAGAUAGGGGGUUCAGAAACAGUGACAUAGGGGGUACAGGUAGGUGGUACCGAUAGAGGGUACAAGUAGGGUGACAGACAGAUAGAGGCACAGAGUUGCUGCAUCGGGGAGAGAGUGGAAGAGGCAGGGACACCAUUGAAGAAAGUAUCAGACAGAGUAUUAGGGACUGGGGACAGAGUAUCGGAGAGACGAAAGAGAGAUAACAAAGUAACAGGCUGGUGGGAGAUGGGGAGAGGAUGAAGUAAGGGGUCACAGACGGAAAGAUAAUUAAAGUAAAAGGACAGAGAGGAGCAGUGAAGGUGCAAAGUAACAGGUGGUAGGACUGAGGAAUUCUUUAAAGAACUGAGAAUAGAAGAGCGUAACAGAGACAGGAGAGUAACAGAGGAAAACGAGUAACACAGACAGGAGAGUAACAGAGGAAAACGAGUAACACAGACAGGAGAGUAACAGAGGAAAACGAGUAACACAGACAGGAGAGUAACAGAGACAGGAGAGUAACAGGAAAACGAGUAACAGAGACAGGAGAGUAACAGGGGAAAACGAGUAGCAGACAGGAGAGUAACAGAGGAAAACGAGUAACACAGAUAGGAGAGUAACAGAGGGAGACGAGAAUUAGGCAGGAUUUGAAUACAGUAAAGGUGAAGGAGGAAGGAGAUUUGAGUAACAGAAGAAGCAGGUGAGAGUAUCAGAAGCAGGAGAGUACAAACCGAAGUGUAUCCGGAAUCCUUCACAACAGGUGAGAAUAACCUGGGGGUGCAGGGGCGUGGGGAGAGAAGUACUAGUUGGAGCAGUAUAUUAAUCUGAGGGUGAUGUUAGUAUGAGUGGGC